Molecule: ribosomal RNA, 485 nt
Filed under: uncultured bacterium
Lineage: Bacteria
Description: partial 16S ribosomal RNA
Rfam family: Bacterial small subunit ribosomal RNA
Source: RNAcentral
AGUGAACGCUGGCGGCGUGCUUAACACAUGCAAGUCGAACGAGAACGGAAUAUAGCUUGCUAUAUUUGUCAGCUAAGUGGCGCACGGGUGAGUAAUGUAUAGAUAACCUGCCCUUAAGAAAGGAAUAACAGUUGGAAACGACUGCUAAUACCCUAUAUGCCUUUAAUACAUAAGUAUGCAAGGGAAACGCUUUAGUGCUUAAGGAUGGGUCUGUAUGGUAUCAGCUUGUUGGUGAGGUAAUGGCUCACCAAGGCUAUGACGCCUAACUGGUUUUAGAGGAUGAUCAGUCACACUGGAACUAAGACACGGUGCAGACUCCUACGGGAGGCAGCAGUGGGGAAUAUUGCACAAUGGACGAAAGUCUGAUGCAGCAACGCCGCGUGGAGGAUGACACAUUUCGGUGCGUAAACUCCUUUUAUAUAGGAAGAUAAUGACGGUACUAUAUGAAUAAGCACCGGCUAACUCCGUGCCAGCCGCCGCAGUAA